UUGCCGCCAGCAGGGGUCGAACCUGCGACCUUGGGCUUAUUAGACCCACGCUCUAACCGACUGAGCUAUGGCGGCUG
Non-coding RNA from Caenorhabditis elegans, 77 nucleotides. The record is from Ensembl. Lineage: Eukaryota; Metazoa; Nematoda; Chromadorea; Rhabditida; Rhabditidae.